AGUAAAACAGUACGUGAAAUUGUUGAAAGGGAAACGAUUGAAGUCAGUCAUGCCGGCGUUGGAUUCAGCUUGCUUCGCGGAGCGGGCGCAUUUCCUCGCAUGGCAGGUCAGCGUCAGUUUUGCGCGGCGUGAAAAGGCUCGGGUAAGGUAGCUCUCUUCGGGGAGUGUUAUAGACCUGGGCAAAUGCGCAGCGCGGGACUGAGGAUUGCAGCGGACACCUCUUCGGAGGCGCGGCGACCGAACCCUGCUCGGCCACCCUCGUUCGAUAGCGUGCUAGCGGACGCGGGAGCGGCAGUGCACCGGAACAGGCAAGCCAGCGGUUCGCUUAGGAUGCUGACGUAAUGGCUUUAAA
This 352-nucleotide unclassified non-coding RNA is filed under the name uncultured Archaeospora. RNAcentral's name for it is "sequence contains 28S rRNA gene". Lineage: Eukaryota; Fungi; Glomeromycota; Glomeromycetes; Archaeosporales; Archaeosporaceae. The record is from RNAcentral.